UGCUUGACCGUAAAAUAUUAACUCACACCCUCACACGCCAGGGCACUACAAGCCAAGCUUAAAACCCAAAGGACUUGACGGUGUCCCACCCUACUAGAGGAGCCUGUUCUGUAAUCGACACCCCCCGCUAUACCCUACCAUUUCUCGUCUACCAGCCUGUAUACUUCCGUCGCAAGUUUACCCUGUGAAUGCCCCGUAAACCAAAUGACCCCCGUCAACACGUCAGGUCAAGGUGCAGCUCAUGAAAUGGAGAGCAAUGGGCUACAAUUUCUAACCUAGAAUAUACGAAACACUGCAUGAAACACAGCUAUGAAGGUGGAUUUAGUAGUAAAAAGAAACUAGCAAGUUCUUUUUAACCGGGCACUGGGACGUGU
Molecule: ribosomal RNA, 374 nt
Filed under: Ericabatrachus baleensis (Bale Mountains frog)
Lineage: Eukaryota; Metazoa; Chordata; Amphibia; Anura; Pyxicephalidae
Description: partial 12S ribosomal RNA
Rfam family: Bacterial small subunit ribosomal RNA (bases 41-374)
Source: RNAcentral